AGCUGGAUAGCUCAGCUGGUUGAGCAUGAGACAUGUAAUCCCAGGGUUGUGGGUUCGAGCGCUGCGUUGGUUG
Non-coding RNA from Podarcis lilfordi (Lilford's wall lizard), 73 nucleotides. The record is from the annotation of a GenBank genome assembly. Lineage: Eukaryota; Metazoa; Chordata; Lepidosauria; Squamata; Lacertidae.